AUGAUGGAUGCUAACUUAGUUGCUCCAGCAUGUGCCCACAGGUGGGCCUCAUCUUUGAUUGUGCGAGCAAGAUCAUCAUUUGAGGGUCAGGCAUUAUCAAAGACAACGGCAUUUCGGUGCUUCAAAAUGGACCAGGCAGUGAGCGCGAUGAGCGAGUUGAUCCCCUUGCGAGAUGAAGCUGGGGCAGUGUUGUUGGUUUUGCACCACCAGUCGAAGAAGGUGUCGGUGGAGCACGUUGUAGGGAUUGGUAGACGGCACCAUGAGAGGAUUUCAUGCCAAGUAAUCCGGGAAAAGACGCACCGGGCAAGCAGGUGA
RNAcentral lists this ribosomal RNA (315 nucleotides) under Triticum aestivum (bread wheat). Its description in RNAcentral is "partial small subunit ribosomal RNA". The record is from RNAcentral. Lineage: Eukaryota; Viridiplantae; Streptophyta; Magnoliopsida; Poales; Poaceae.